CAUCACUUUAACAGAGUGAGGCUGGCUGUGCAGCACUGAGGACACUUCACUUCUGAGGUACCAAGGAGUCCUGGGACCUUCGAGGGGUGGCGUGAUGAAAGCAGAAGCGCGUUGGGGCUGUGGCCUCUCGUCUGCAGGGACUGCCGUGGGAUCCGGCGGCCAUGACAUGAGAAGAUACCCUGGAAGCUUCAGCAGCCCACUCUGGCCCGGCGGCCACCGUAUGCGGGCGGCUCCCACCCUCUUCUCCGUCCUCUGAACUUGUAGCUACACAGCAGCGUCUCCCCAGCGUCUCCCAAGCGUCUCCGCUCCCAAGUCUUACGGCUCAAGUUCGGCACAAGCAGACCUGCUGAACCUGCCUCAGCCUUGGUAAAUGGGACCCCAGGCACCAUGACUCCAGCUGGAGACGGAGCCACUGCGGUGCCCCCUGCCCCGGGCACCCCAUGCCCUUUCAUCAGUUCUCUUGGUCCCGUCUUUAAGUAUUUUUCAGACUUGUCCACUUCUUUACUACGGGCUGUAGGCUAGUCUGACUGCCCCAACCCUCUGCUGAACUUAGCUGCCGCUUACUGCCCUUGGUUCCAAUGUACAGCCCUCCCGAGCCUGCCGCCCACAGCCUGCCUCACCUUCGCAGAAACGCUCGGGAUGGUGUAACUGCCCGUGCAGAGCCCUGGCUGGCGUCCAUCCUGCACCAGGACCCCGAUGUGCACUCCCUGCGGCAGCCGGGUCCAGGGUCCUCCUCAAAGCCCUCCCUCCUGCUGUGCUUAGCAGGGAGGGGCCGGCCCUGGGACCCUUCUGGUCCUGUACUGGUCCCAAUUCCUCUGCUCCUGCAGCCCAGCUGCUGAACAGCUCCCAGGAGUCGAGACUGUGGGUCCCUCCCAGCAGCUGGUGGAGAACAGCUCAGCCCAGACUCAGCCGUUUUCAAACAGAUUCCCAUUUUCAGACCAGGACAGUAAGGCCACAGGAGGCCCACCUUGGUUUUCAGAAAGGUUGCUCAUCAACUAUGCUGUUGCUUUCUCUUACAACUUGGGAUUCUAUCAGUUUCCAAACUGUGCAUACAAAUAAAUUCAUAAUAGUAGCAAUAAUCAAAAUUUUAC
RNAcentral lists this long non-coding RNA (1091 nucleotides) under Heterocephalus glaber (naked mole-rat). RNAcentral's name for it is "lncRNA (ENSHGLG00100048204.1)". The record is from RNAcentral. Lineage: Eukaryota; Metazoa; Chordata; Mammalia; Rodentia; Bathyergidae.